GGAUCAAGGAAGAGAAUUUGUCAAUGAACUCAACCACAGGCUUUGUGAGAUGUUGUGCAUUGAACGGAGUGUGACCGCAGCAUAUCAUCCUCAAACAAAUGGCCUGGAUGAAAAAACCAAUGACAACAUAAAGCGAGCCCUUAAGAAACUUGUGAAUGACCAGCAGAAUGACUGGGAUGUGUACCUGGAUGCCACUUUGUUUUCACUGAGAUCAAAGGUCCA
Long non-coding RNA from Trichomycterus rosablanca, 222 nucleotides. RefSeq lists it as uncharacterized. The record is from RefSeq and is a predicted model, not a curated record. Lineage: Eukaryota; Metazoa; Chordata; Actinopteri; Siluriformes; Trichomycteridae. The transcript has 3 exons.